Molecule: long non-coding RNA, 468 nt
Organism: Rhipicephalus sanguineus (brown dog tick)
Lineage: Eukaryota; Metazoa; Arthropoda; Arachnida; Ixodida; Ixodidae
Exons: 5
Source: RefSeq, a predicted model, not a curated record
UGCAGAAAAAAAUCCAUGAACUCGCCAGUACAGAGGAGUUGAAGCAGAAAAUACUCCAUAGGAUCACCAUCGCACGUGACUGUUGCUUCGCCUACGAUGAACUUGGAGUGGCGGUGCUCAAAAAGAUGAUUGUGCCCAUCGUAUCUGGAGCCACACCAUGCGCGUCGACGAAAGCCGGAAUCCCGGAUCCCGUCGAGAGGGACCUGGCAGAGAAGCAGUGCUUCAAGGAGGUGGCCUUCCAAACGCAGGCAACUGUGGGACUGACUCCUGAAGAAAACGCCACCUUCAAGGAAGUCUCCACAUGCAUCUUUUCUCGACUGCCGGCAGUGAAUGCCUGAACUGUCGUCGAAAAGAACGCGACGGUUCGGCGAGCCCGAGCCCCAUGCGUUCGCCUCCGUCCACAGAUACGAUAUAAGUCACUGCGACUCUGCAGUGUUACUCCCACAGCGGUUUCUCAAUUCCCAUGUC